GUAUAUAUUUUGGUACUCUGACUGCCACACACAUACGCGUUCAAGUUGUCUAACAGGUUUCAAUAUUAUCAAGAACAAUACUUCACAGUACUGCCGUUGAUAACAUUGAAGGUGAUAUCCGACAGUAGUACUGCACAGUACACUGUAGAUAACCCCUAACCCUGAGACGACCUCAUAUUUAGAGCGCGACCUAAAUCACCUCCAAUACUCUCUCGCAAUGAUCCUUCCGCAGGUUCACCUACGGAAA
Molecule: unclassified non-coding RNA, 247 nt
Filed under: uncultured fungus
Lineage: Eukaryota; Fungi
Description: sequence contains ITS1
Source: RNAcentral